CUAGGGUUUUGUUAAAGUCGUACCUGCCCAGUGAUAGUAAUAUUAAAUGGCCGCAAUUAAAUGCGAAAAGGUAGCGUAAUCAAUAGUCCUUUAAUUGGGGAAUGGAAUGAAAGGUGUGACACAGAAAAGCUGUCUUUAAUAAAAAUUAAUUGAAAUUCUCUUUUAGGUGAAGAGGCCUAAAUAUUUGUAAAAGACGAGGAGACCCUAUCGAACUUAAUUAAGAAUAGAGUGAUUAAAGUAAAAUGAGUUAAUUUUUAAUGUUGUAAGGUUUUAGUUUUCUUUUUGUUAUAAUUUUAUUGUGAAAUUUUGUUGGGGCAACAAAUGAUCAGAAAGAUCUUUAUUUAAAAUGAGGAACCUUUAUGAAAGAUUUGAGCAAAAGUUACCGUAGGGAUAACAGCGUAACCUUCUUUUCGAGAGUUCUUAUCGAGAAAAGGACAAACGACCUCGAUGUUGAAUUAAAGUUACCUUAUGGUGUAGAAGCUAUAAUUGGUUAGACUGUUCGUCUUUUGAUUCUUUACAUGAUCUAGUUCCCAAAAACGGGGAAAA
This 546-nucleotide ribosomal RNA is filed under the name Pelecyora trigona. Its description in RNAcentral is "partial large subunit ribosomal RNA". It matches the Rfam family "Bacterial large subunit ribosomal RNA", at positions 1833 to 2625 of the family's 2925-position model. Lineage: Eukaryota; Metazoa; Mollusca; Bivalvia; Venerida; Veneridae. The record is from RNAcentral.